RNAcentral lists this long non-coding RNA (376 nucleotides) under Gallus gallus (chicken). The record is from RNAcentral. Lineage: Eukaryota; Metazoa; Chordata; Aves; Galliformes; Phasianidae.
CACUUGGACGACCUCCUCCCCAGCUGCUCGUUGUCCACCGUGUCCGUCGUCCACCCCACUUUCUUCUCCGGUUUCCGCUUCCGCAGCUUCAGGGUCAGACUGCGGUUCUCCGGCUCCGGGCCGCCGCUCUCUGUGACGGUCGCGGUUCCGCAGCCGCCGCUCUCCGCCGCCUCCGCCAUCGCCGCCCCGCGCGGGGCCUCCGCUCCGCACUUCCGCCCCGGGCUCUGUCCGGUACUUCCGGUACGGCGUCUAACGCUCGGAGCCCUUCCGGUGCGACACUUCCGGUCGGUGCUCAGCGGACAAGUGCCGUUCCCGGUGACACUUCCGGUUGCUCACUUCCGGCGAGAGCGCUGCUUGCCGAGGCUUCCGGUUUGCC